RNAcentral lists this transfer RNA (66 nucleotides) under Aconophora mexicana. Its description in RNAcentral is "tRNA-Leu". The record is from RNAcentral. Lineage: Eukaryota; Metazoa; Arthropoda; Insecta; Hemiptera; Membracidae.
UCUACUGUGGCAGAAAAAAUGCAAUGAACUUAAAAUUCAUUCAUAAAUAUUUAUAUUUCUUUAGAA